Molecule: ribosomal RNA, 497 nt
Filed under: uncultured bacterium
Lineage: Bacteria
Description: partial 16S ribosomal RNA
Rfam family: Bacterial small subunit ribosomal RNA
Source: RNAcentral
GAUGAACGCUGGCGGCGUGCCUAAUACAUGCAAGUCGAGCGAACAGACGAGGAGCUUGCUCCUCUGACGUUAGCGGCGGACGGGUGAGUAACACGUGGAUAACCUACCUAUAAUACUGGGAUAACUUCGGGAAACCGGAGCUAAUACCGGAUAAUAUAUUGAACCGCAUGGUUCAAUAGUGAAAGACGGUUUUGCUGUCACUUAUAGAUGGAUCCGCGCCGCAUUAGCUAGUUGGUAAGGUAACGGCUUACCAAGGCAACGAUGCGUAGCCGACCUGAGAGGGUGAUCGGCCACACUGGAACUGAGACACGGUCCAGACUCCUACGGGAGGCAGCAGUAGGGAAUCUUCCGCAAUGGGCGCAAGCCUGACGGAGCAACGCCGCGUGAGUGAUGAAGGUCUUCGGAUCGUAAAACUCUGUUAUUAGGGAAGAACAAAUGUGUAAGUAACUAUGCACGUCUUGACGGUACCUAAUCAGAAAGCCACGGCUAACUACGUG